RNAcentral lists this long non-coding RNA (761 nucleotides) under Mus caroli (Ryukyu mouse). RNAcentral's name for it is "RIKEN cDNA 1500012K07 gene (MGP_CAROLIEiJ_G0013801.1)". The record is from RNAcentral. Lineage: Eukaryota; Metazoa; Chordata; Mammalia; Rodentia; Muridae.
AAAGAAGCGCGCAGCCUGGGGCAGCAGCAAGUGCUCCUUUUUUCGGUGCGCUGCUUUCCAACUCUGCUGUCCUUUGAGGCUUUUCCCAACAACCGCACCCAGAGGUCCCAGCGCGGGUCUCAGCAUGCCAGGCCUGGGAGCCCCGCACCACCGCGAGGAUCGCGGUCCCCUACCUGGGUGGAAAAUCCGCAGCGAGCCGGUCAGCAGCUGAACACCGCACUGGCAAAGCCUCACAGGAGACAGCUAUGUCAGGAUCCCUUCAGCAAAAUCUUGCUGGCGUAUGCAAUAGUGUCUGCGUUUGGUGCCUGAUUGUGGGAUGGACCUCCAGAGACAAAAAGACUAGGGAUCAUUUCUCAUUGGCAGUAGUAGCAAAAUACUGGAAAUCACUUUAAUGUUCAACAUGAGGGGAGUUUUGAAGUCAAUAGUGGCGUAUAGCUGCAUGUGACAAGACACUUUAAAGUGUGAAAUCACUUUCUGGAAGAUGAUUUAAUGGAGAGGAGAAUGUAUAUGAGAAAACACAGCCUCCGACCUGAGUGUACAGAGUAACUCCAAUAUGCAGAUGGAGAUGAGAGUUUCGUGCUUCAAGGAAAUGAUUUUAUACAAUUCCUCCAAAGUCUGGAGCAUAGGAUUUCAAUGUAGCCUCUCUACUGCCCUUCCAGGGGUCAGAUAGGCUUGCAAAUGUUUGAAGAGUAACACUGGCCACACAAAGUCAUCCAGACAGACUAGCAGAGUCUCAGAGAACAGAUGGCCGAUGAGAGAAU